GGUGAGUAUAACGUAGACAACUUCCCUCGCAAACGGGGAUAACUCCGGGAAACCGGAGCUAAUACCCGAUGAUAUCCGGAGAGAGCAUUCUUUCCGGAUCAAAGGCCCGAAAGGGCGUUGUGAGAUGGGUCUGCGCCCCAUUAGAUAGUUGGCGGGGUAAAAGCCCACCAAGUCAACGAUGGGUAGCUGGUCUGAGAGGACGACCAGCCACACUGGAACUGAGACACGGUCCAGACUUCUACGGAAGGCAGCAGUGAGGAAUAUUGCUCAAUGGGCGAAAGCCUGAAGCAGCGACGCCGCGUGAGGGAUGAAAUCCGUUAGGAUGUAAACCUCUUUUAUAGGGGAAGAAUAGCCCGGUUACCGGUUAUGACUGUACCCUAUGAAUAAGCACCGGCCAACUACGUGCCAGCAGCCGCGGUAAUACGUAGGGUGCGAGCGUUGUUCGGAAUUACUGGGUGUAAAGGGUCCGCAGGCGGUCGAGCAAGUCGAUGGAGAAAGUUCAUGGCUUAACUGUGAAAUUGCCUUCGAUACUGCUCGUCUUGAGUUCGAGAGAGGAUGAUGGAAUUCAUGGAGUAGCAGUGAAAUGCGUAGAGAUCAUGAAGAACACCAGUUGCGAAGGCUGUCAUCUGGCUCGAUACUGACGCUCAGGGACGAAAGCGUGGGUAGCAAACAGGAUUAGAUACCCUGCUAGUCCACGCCUUAUACGAUGGAUAUUCCGGUGUCGGUCUAGCUCGGUGCUUCCGAAAGAAGCGUCAAGCGGCAUCGGUGCCUGAGCUAACGCGAUAAAAUAUCUCCACCUGGGAUGUACGAUCGCAUGGUU
RNAcentral lists this ribosomal RNA (820 nucleotides) under uncultured bacterium. RNAcentral's name for it is "bacterial SSU rRNA". It matches the Rfam family "Bacterial small subunit ribosomal RNA", at positions 105 to 895 of the family's 1533-position model. The record is from RNAcentral.